AUUGAACGCUGGCGGCAUGCCUUACACAUGCAAGUCGAACGGUAACAGGUUAAGCUGACGAGUGGCGAACGGGUGAGUAAUAUAUCGGAACGUGCCCAGUCGUGGGGGAUAACGUAGCGAAAGCUACGCUAAUACCGCAUACGAUCUACGGAUGAAAGCGGGGGAUCGCAAGACCUCGCGCGAUUGGAGCGGCCGAUAUCAGAUUAGGUUGUUGGUGAGGUAAAAGCUCACCAAGCCUGCGUUCUGUAGCGGGUCUGAGAGGACGACCAGCCACACUGGAACUGAGACACGGUCCAGACUCCUACGGGAGGCAGCAGUGGGGAAUUUUGGACAAUGGACGCAAGUCUGAUCCAUCAAUGCCGCGUGCAGGACGAAGGCCUUCGGGUUGUAAACUGCUGUUGUACGGAACGAAACGGUGAGCUCUAAUACAGUUUGCUAAUGACGGUACCGUAAGAAUAAGCACCGGCUAACUACGUGCCAGCCGCCGCAGUAA
This 493-nucleotide ribosomal RNA is filed under the name uncultured bacterium. RNAcentral's name for it is "partial 16S ribosomal RNA". It matches the Rfam family "Bacterial small subunit ribosomal RNA", at positions 30 to 523 of the family's 1533-position model. The record is from RNAcentral.